This 1418-nucleotide long non-coding RNA is filed under the name Apteryx owenii (little spotted kiwi). Its description in RNAcentral is "lncRNA (ENSAOWG00000014828.1)". The record is from RNAcentral. Lineage: Eukaryota; Metazoa; Chordata; Aves; Apterygiformes; Apterygidae.
UUGAGUUUCUCAUGCCUUCAAUUUACAUUUUUGUUGCUUUCUAUUGGACACAAAAUGGCUUCAGGGCCUCAAAGCCCCUUGAUACAUUUCUUCUGAACGUGAUUUUAUACAUCUCUUGCAGAUUUCCUGAUUGGUGCUUCAGCAACACCUGGGUGAGAAAAUACCGGUGUCUGUACAGGCAGCAUAUAGAAAUGAGCAGUUUUGCUUUUACCUUUGCGAGGAGUGCUGCUGACUUGAGAGGUAUUUUACAACUGACGAAAAGAACAUCAGGAGAGAGCCAGUUCACGUCUCCCGAUAGCGGAGCAGUGCUGAGAGUGCAAGCUGGACGGGCUCUGGGCCGACCGGCGUCUCUCUGGCCCCGUCCCUGGCAGGGCCAGCCCAAAGCUGGAGCCGAAAGCUCUGUAACAAGGUCAGAGUGCGAGGAUCUUGCAUUCCAGAUAUGCUUUGGGGUUGCAAAUGCCAUAAACGGCACAUUUAUCGGAAACAUUCUGAAGAUAAACCCUUAUCGAGCUCCUUAUAAUUACCGGGUUUGGGUGCCUUGUGCUCUGCAAAGGAGAGCAGCAAAAUUUGCUCGAGGAAAAGGCAGGUAUGUAAAAUGCUGCUUACUUUCUCAGGCCACCACCUUGGGAAGGGGUGGAAUUAGCUGCAGCUAAUUAGCUGCAUAGCCUGUAAGUCAUGAUAAGUUUGUGUUGUGUAUAUGGGAGGCUCGCAUGGCCAGUCGUUCUGCAUCAUGGUUACUUUCUUUUUCCCCAGUUAAGCAUGCACUGUGAAGGCAAACAAGUUAAUGUUGAUAAAGUCAAUGCCGAUUCAUUCUGCAUGUUUUGUGAUGCUUUGUAACACGGGACAUUGGUAGGGUGAAAAGUCAUUUGGGAGAAAGGGGGUUGGGACAGGCACGCAGAAGUUUCUCUCUGUCGAGCUGAGAAUUUGCAGCUGAAGCAGUCGCUGGUGCGGGUUUUUCUGGCUCCCCAGCAGUUCUCUGCUUUCAUGGUUCAGGGCUUUCUUGGCCCCAAAGUGUCGGCCGUAGGUGGUGGCUUCUCAUGGUCUGCUUUUAACAGAGGAGGAGAGCGUGGAAACGUUCUGUAGGUUAGGGCUGUGUGUGUGCCCCGAGAAGUCACCUAAGCCUUUAUUUCAAUGGUAAUAUUAAAGAUCCCAGUAAAGGAAAAUAUUGUAUUUUGUGCUGAGCAGAAAUUUAAAUGCUAACAUUACAAAGUUUUUCUUAGCUUUACUGAUGGGAAUGAACACAUUAUCUAAAAAAGUUUCAUUGUCAUGUACUUAUUUGUCUGGUAUUAUUUGGAACUACAAGUUAAAGAAGUUAUGUCCUGGUUAGGAAGUUUUAUACUGCCAUGAUUUUAUCAGUUUUGAACACAAUGCAUUUAAGGUAGAAGAUCACCAUAUAAUAAACCCAGUUACAUGUUACA